Molecule: ribosomal RNA, 445 nt
Filed under: uncultured soil bacterium
Lineage: Bacteria
Description: bacterial SSU rRNA
Rfam family: Bacterial small subunit ribosomal RNA
Source: RNAcentral
AGAUUGAACGCUGGCGGCAUGCCUAACACAUGCAAGUCGAACGGGAGUAGCAAUACUCUAGUGGCGGACGGGUGAGGAAUACGUAGGAAUUUGCCCUUAAGUGGGGGAUAACCCGGGGAAACCCGGAUUAAUACCGCAUGACCUCGAAAGAGCAAAGUGGGGGAUCGCAAGACCUCACGCUUUUGGAGAAGCCUACGUCGGAUUAGCUAGUUGGUGAGGUAAUGGCUCACCAAGGCGACGAUCCGUAACUGGUCUGAGAGGAUGAUCAGUCACACCGGAACUGAGACACGGUCCGACUCCGUACGGGAGGCAGCAGGUGGGAAUAGUGGACAAGUGGGCGCAAGCCUGACUCCAGCAAUGCCGCGUGUGAGAAGAGGCCGUUGGUUAGUAAACGCGUAACGUUUAAGGUUAGGGAAAGUAAAAACUCGACUUACUAACACGUAGU